This 413-nucleotide ribosomal RNA is filed under the name uncultured microorganism. RNAcentral's name for it is "bacterial SSU rRNA". It matches the Rfam family "Archaeal small subunit ribosomal RNA", at positions 460 to 872 of the family's 1478-position model. The record is from RNAcentral.
AGCCGCCGCGGUAAUACCGGCGGCCCGAGUGGCGGUCACUAUUAUUGGGCUUAAAGCGUCCGUAGCCGGGUUGGGAAGUCCUCCGGGAAAUCUGGCCGCUUAACGGUCAGAAUGCCGGAGGAUACUCCCAGCCUAGGGAGCGGGAGAGGCCGAGGGUAUUCCCGGAGUAGGGGUGAAAUCCUAUAAUCCCGGGAGGACCACCUGUGGCGAAGGCGCUCGGCUGGAACGCGUCCGACGGUGAGGGACGAAGGCCAGGGGAGCAAACCGGAUUAGAUACCCGGGUAGUCCUGGCUGUAAACGAUGCGGACUUUGUGUCGGACAAGCUAUGAGCUUGUCCGGUGCCGGAGGGAAACCGUUAAGUCCGCCGCCUGGGGAGUACGGCCGCAAGGCUGAAACUUAAAGGAAUUGGCGGG